Small nuclear RNA from Tachyglossus aculeatus (Australian echidna), 185 nucleotides. RefSeq annotates it as U2 spliceosomal RNA. NCBI's taxonomy places the organism in Eukaryota, Metazoa, Chordata, Mammalia, Monotremata, Tachyglossidae. The record is from RefSeq and is a predicted model, not a curated record. The transcript has a single exon.
AUCGCUUCUCGGCCUUUUGGCUAAGAUCAAGUGUAGUAUCUGUUCUUAGUUUAACAUCUGAUACGUCUUCGAUGUGAAGACGCUAUGUUAAGCAGCUUUUUGGAGAAAGGAGGUGGGUGGGGAGCUUGCUUCGUCCCCUCCGCGCAUCGACCUGGUAUUCAUCAUCAUCAUCAAUCGUAUUUAUU